This 124-nucleotide ribosomal RNA is filed under the name Trialeurodes vaporariorum (greenhouse whitefly). Lineage: Eukaryota; Metazoa; Arthropoda; Insecta; Hemiptera; Aleyrodidae. The record is from RNAcentral.
GUCGACGGCCAUACCACGUUGAUAGCACCGGUUUUCGUUCGAUCACCGAAGUUAAGCACCGUCGCGUCGGGUGAAGUUAGUAUUCAGAUGGGGGACCGCUCGGGAACAUUUCGUGCUGUUGACU